This 1285-nucleotide long non-coding RNA is filed under the name Homo sapiens (human). RNAcentral's name for it is "HSALNT0352885". Lineage: Eukaryota; Metazoa; Chordata; Mammalia; Primates; Hominidae. The record is from RNAcentral.
CUUUUCUUUCUUGGGAGAUUUUUGAUUACUGAUUCAGUCUCCUUAUACAUUAUUGGUCUGCUGAGAUUUUCUAUUCUUCAUAAUUUAAUUUUGGUAGGUGGUAUGUUUCUAGUAAUUUGUUCAUUUCUUAUAAGUUAUCUAAUUUAUUGGCAUAUAAUUAUUCAUAGUUGUCUCUUAUGAUCUUUUGAAUUUCCGUGGUAUGAGUUGUAAUGUCUCUUCUUUAAUUUAAAAUUUUACUUGAAUUCUCUCUUUUCCUAAAUUAGUCUAGCCAAGGGUUUGUCGACUUUCUCUUUUCAGAAAACCAACUCUUAGUCUCAUUGAUCUUUCUACUGUUUUUCUAUAAUAGUCUCUAUUUUCUCUAUUUUAUUUUUCCUGCUCUAAUUUUUGUUAUUUUCUUCCUUUGCUAACUUGAGGCUUGGCCUAUUAUUCUCUUACCUCCUUGAGGUAUAAAGUUAGGUUGUUUAGUUGAGAUAUUUCAUUUUUCUUAACGUAAGUUUUUUGAUUUUUUGCUUGUUUGUUUUUAAGACAGGGUCUUGCUCUGUUGCCCAGGCAGAAGCACAGUGAUGUGAUCAUGGCUCACUGCAGCCUCAACCUCCUGAGCUCAAGUGAUCCUUCCAUCUCAGCCUCCCAAGUAACUGGGACCACAGGCAGAUGCCACCAUGCCCAGUGACUCCGUUCACAUGCUCCCGUCUUGUCAUCAAGCCCUGUUCAUCUCUCACCAUCUCUCACCUGGACCAUUGCCAGUUUCUGAGCUGCCUGCUCUUGAAUACCAGCUUCCUGAAAAUAUCACCAAAACGAUCUGGUCCUCAGACAAAGCAGAGUCUAUUGCUCACUGCAGUAACAGAGAGCUCCGUCUUCAGAGUCUUGGUAACAUUUCGCUGAGAGGACAACCCAAUCACACUGUUUAGGAGAUUUUGGAUUCUGACUAAGGUGCCUGGAGCAAAAAUGUGUCCAGAAUUGGUGGGUUGUUGGUCUCGCUGACCUCAAGAACGGAGCCGUGGACCCUCGCGGGACAAGGGGAGUCAGAGGCAGAAGAGAAGGUGUUGUGAUGACAGAAGCAGAGAUCUGAGUGACUCACUUUGAAGAUGGAGGAAGAGGUCACAGGCCAAGUGAUACAGAUGCCAGGAGAAGCUGAAAACAGGAGGAAAUGGAUUCUUCCCUCAGAGCUUCUGGAAAAGAUCAGUCUUGCUGAUAACUUGACUUUAGCCCACUGAAACUGAUUUUGAACUUUUGACUUCCAGAACUACAGGGUCUCAUUAUUGUUGCCCAGACUCAUCUCAAACUC